This 810-nucleotide ribosomal RNA is filed under the name uncultured bacterium. Its description in RNAcentral is "bacterial SSU rRNA". It matches the Rfam family "Bacterial small subunit ribosomal RNA", at positions 575 to 1380 of the family's 1533-position model. The record is from RNAcentral.
UAGGUUGAUCGCGUCGAAGUGUAAUCUUGGGGCUUAACCCUGAGCGUGCUUUCGAUACCGGUUGACUUGUAUUUGAAGGUAGGGAAAUGGAAUUCCUGGUGGAGCGGUGGAAUGCGCAGAUAUCAGGGAGGAACACCAGUGGCGAAGGCGGUUCUCUGGGCCUUUCCUGACGCUGAGGAGCGAAAGCGUGGGGAGCGAACAGGCUUAGAUACCCUGGUAGUCCACGCUGUAAACGGUGGGUACUAGUGUGGGGUCCAUUCCACGGGUUCCGUGCCGUAGCUAACGCUUUAAGUACCCCGCCUGGGGAGUACGGCCGCAAGGCUAAAACUCAAAGGAAUUGACGGGGCCCCGCACAAGCGGCGGAGCAUGCGGAUUAAUUCGAUGCAACGCGUAGAACCUUACCUGGGUUUGACAUGGAUCGGGAGUGCUCAGAGAUGGGUGUGCCUCUUUUGGGGUCGGUUCACAGGUGGUGCAUGGCUGUCGUCAGCUCGUGUCGUGAGAUGUUGGGUUAAGUCCCGCAACGAGCGCAACCCUUGUUCACUGUUGCCAGCACGUUAUGGUGGGGACUCAGUGGAGACCGCCGGGGUCAACUCGGAGGAAGGUGGGGAUGACGUCAAGUCAUCAUGCCCCUUAUGUCCAGGGCUUCACGCAUGUACAAUGGCUGGUACAGAGAGUGGCGAGCCUGUGAGGGUGAGCGAAUCUCCGGAGAGCCGGUCUCAGUUCGGAUUGGGGUCUGCAACUCGACCUCAUGAAGUCGGAGUCGCUAGUAAUCGCAGAUCAGCAACGCUGCGGUGAAUACGUUCCCGGGGU